RNAcentral lists this ribosomal RNA (253 nucleotides) under uncultured bacterium. Its description in RNAcentral is "partial 16S ribosomal RNA". It matches the Rfam family "Bacterial small subunit ribosomal RNA", at positions 524 to 776 of the family's 1533-position model. The record is from RNAcentral.
UACGUAGGGGGCAAGCGUUAUCCGGAAUCAUUGGGCGUAAAGCGCGUGUAGGCGGUUCAGCAAGUCCGCUCUGAAAGCCCAGGGCUCAACCCUGGGAGGCGGGUGGAUACUGCUGGACUAGAGUCCGGAAGAGGAGAUUGGAAUUCCUGGUGUAGCGGUGAAAUGCGUAGAGAUCGGGAAGAACAUCGGUGGCGAAGGCGCUCUACUGGACCACAACUGACACUCAGGGACGAAAGCUAGGGGAGCGAAUGGG